Manis javanica (Malayan pangolin) is the source of this 8180-nucleotide non-coding RNA. The record is from RefSeq and is a predicted model, not a curated record. NCBI's taxonomy places the organism in Eukaryota, Metazoa, Chordata, Mammalia, Pholidota, Manidae.
UCAUGUCUAAGAGAUAGGUUCACAUUAUGACCACAGGAAAACCAUUGCUAGAUGAACAUAAAAAUUUCACAAGUUGCCCUGGGAAAGUCCCAUAUGGAUUCUCGCUGAACACCCAUUUAGAAGAGCAAUUUUAACCUCCUUGGCAGUCUUAAAAUACUAAAAAGAAUGCUUUUUGGUGGGCACAAAAAAGAUUGCUUCAAAAUCAUGAUUCCUGCUUUAUCUCAUACAGUAAGGCUAUAGGUUUCAAGAGGGAUUAAAAAUAAAACUGAGAAAUGUCUCUUUUUUAAAUACCUAGAGAAAAAGGAAAAGAAGGGAUCAUAACAUGAAAUUGAAAUAGUUUAAUGUUCAAGACCAGAGUCUGACCCAGGAUGACCCACAAACAGGAGGAGCAUGACCGUGACAGACGCACCGAGGUGACUAUGAAUCAGCACAUGGCACCAAAACACGAUCGAAGCACUUGAGUUCCAGUGUGUCCACAGGACGCCCGUUUUUCACAUCCCCUCCCCCACGUCACCCCUCGCAGGGAUGCCGUCACCACCAGCAGGUCCCUGAGUCUAAUUACAAUGACUUGUAACUUUUCUGUACACUGUGAAACUAUGGAGACUUCCUUUGAGAAAUUUUUGAGAUAAAAUGCUAUUAACCACACUUACAGUUGUUUUCUUGAUUUUAUACUCAUCUAUAUUUUCUCACACAUUCAUCAUCAGAAAUCUAGAACCAAAAAUGUUAAUUAAACAUCUGCAGCAUGUGGGGCUGACAAGCCCCAAGCCAGGUGAUGCUCAGGACAACGCUUCACACUCAGUCCCCUUCGUAAAAUUGUUCUGAAUUUAAAGAAAAAAAACCCUGCUCCAAAGCCCCUGAUUUUAGUAAGAGUCUACACUAAGGAACUGCUUCUAAAAGGUACGGCCUGAGGGACCCCUGGGAAAGUGGAAGAUACGGGCUGGUUUAUAGAGUGGGCGAGGUCUCUGCAGGAGAGGAGAGGAGAGGUGGUCCAGGCAGCGGUGCGGGUGGGGGACAGGAAGGAGAGGCGAGCAGAGGUGGAGCGCUCAGAGACGCACUGGGUGUGUGUUUGGAGAAAGGCCCAAACUCUGAAAUAUCUGGAGCAGACGGACACUUGUUGACUGGUGGGAGCUGAGACUGGAAAAGUUAAGCAUGUACCAGGUGAUGGAGGGUUUCAAAAUACCUGGCCGAGGUGCUUGGCAGCAACUGUGAGUCCCAAUAGAUAACUGGAGGGUAGAGAGACAAGCACAGCAAGGGUUUAGGGACAUUAGCCCGGGGCCACAGGCAGAGCGGCCCGGGCAGCAGUGAGGGACGGCGGGGGAGCAGCCCUGACACAGUCCGGAUGGAGGGUGGAGGGAACAGGUCCCCGCGUGCAGGGCGGUGGAAGCUCACCACUCUCCCCGUGAGCGCGGAGCCAGGGCCCCAGGGCCACACGGAGGUACGAACCGCGCGGGCGGCACCGUGCGACCGUUCACCGCGGGAGGAGGGCACGUGGUCUGGCCCGAGCUCUGUUUGCUUCUGCAGGGUAAACGUACAGCCAUGAAGACAAUGAGACUCAACAACCAGUUCACCAGAAACACGGCCACCUACACACCGUUCCACGGACUCCAAGAGAGAAGUCCAGGCCUGGAGGACCAGCCAAUUGCUGAAGUCAUGCAGGAAACGGAGCAGAGAGAGAGGAGAGAGGCUCCUUCUCCCUGAGGUCCCAGUCCGCGGAGAGUGGAGGCCGGUGUGUGUCUCCCACCCAGACUUUUGUUUGGAAGUUUUUUCAACUGUUGCUAGGUGUUGUUGGGCCCUGAGAUUCCGUGUCUCGCCUCCUGCUCGCUUCGCGCUGUCAGAGCAGUGACUUUGCUGAGGAGCAGAGCCCGCGUGUGCUAUAUUUAACCAGUGUUCUCAGCAAGUCCAGCCCGUCAACAGCUGAGAAGUUUGGAGCCGGCUUUACUCAGCUCCUCGGCAGCUGGGUUAUCAGUGGGCGCAGCUCUGCUCACCCUGUGAAAGAUGGCGGGCAAACCGGCAGACCCUUCCCGGGACCUCUGCUCAUGACCCAGUAAGGUAGUCACUCUUCGAAGCCCUUAAGAACAGAUUGUGAUUUGGGACAGAGGUUUUAAAACCUGAAGAGAAGCAGCAGCAGUUGGGUUGAGCAGAGCAAUUUGCUAGCGUAGGGUUCUUGUCAAUCAGGCUUUUGCAGUUAAGUGUUCUUAAAUUAAAAAGGCCUUUAGAAGUUUAUCACAGCUGCUGGGAAAGUCACAGUGAGAGACCAUUUCCAGGCAGUAUUUUACAUCGGAGUGUUACACUCACAGCUGAUGACUUACCCAGUCCGGUCAGACUUGACCAGCUUAUACACCUGAAUGUUCUUAAAAGAGAGGAGUGGAGCACACUACAGGAAACCAGCGCUGAGCCGCCUCUGGUCACUGACAGCCUGGCCUCGUUAACCCUCUCGUCUCCAAAACCAGAGGAGGGUCGCGUCUACCCUGGACUCCCAGGCGGAGAAUGCCUCGAGAUACUUUACUGGCUUUAUGCUGUCCCAUGAAUGGAAGAGACCAGGCAAAAAGAAGACUUUGACCUCAACUAGAGAGACAAUUUUAAAAGAUGAAUUAACACCUAUGAGCCUAUUUCUUCAAUUGCCAAGUGGAGAUAAUGGGAUUUGAUCUACACGCCGCACCCUCCACCGCCACCACCAGCAGCACAGCUGGCAGCCACAGGACAUGGACGUGCAGCCUGGGCCGGAAGAGCGGGACCGCGGCGCGACACCAAGGAGAGGGAGCAUUCGAACCCUCUGCGCCCGCUUGGAAAUCCUGUCCUCUGUGAAGCCCGUGCGCCAGCAUCAAGUCUGACUGCCAGCAUUUGUCGGCAAAUGACUACGCGCAGAUGAGGGCGGCAGGACAGGCAUUGAGGAGGGAGCUGACGGUGAGCAGUGGCAGGGGCGUAGCUCCCCCGGGCCUGUUCGGACCUGCGAAGAGAGUCAAACUCCAGAUCAGUUUCUUCCAGAAAACACAAAUCCUAUGUCUGCCUUCGUGGGAUCCAAUCAAAAUGCUCUAGGAUAGAUGUGAUAACCAGAUGGGGAGCGCAAUAUCUGGAGACCUGUCUGGCUGUCACAAUGGAGGGGCGCUCCUGGCAUCCAGUGCGUAGAGGCCAGGGCCACUGUUAACCUCCCGGUAGUGUCCAGCACAGCCGCCUCCUGCGAGGAGUCACCAGCCAGAGGCCAAGAGCCGAGGCUGAAAGGCCCUGCGCGCACCAGACGGUCAAGAAAUAAUGAUUCUCACAAGAACUGCCGGCGAGACUCAGAGCAGCAACAAAGAUGCGCAGAUAACACGGCAGAAUGGGUGACUCGAGGAGACGUAGGAAAUAUAGGGAGGGAAAAUGACUAAUAGCUUCAGGGAUCACGGAAAAUUUUGAAAAACAAUACUGUAGAUAUCCAUCUGAACAUUCUUAAAAUAACCAGAUUUGGUCAUUCCUUCUAUAAUUCUUUUUCACAUAAGAACUAACCACCAAAUACUUGCAGAAAAUACCCUCUCUACUCCUGAAACUAUACUAAGUUCUCCGGAAAGACAACGUCACUGGUCUUGGGGGCUCAGAGCAGAGUCACAGCUCCAAUUCCGCGUUCCUGUUACCAGGCUCAUCCCUCCAAGCGAGGGCCAGUUCUGGACCAAACCCCCCGUGUGGCACAGUCGCUCAGGGGAGACAGGCAGACAUUAAACUAGCAAAUGUACAAUUUCAGUGUGUGAUUUACUUCUGUUCCCAGAAAUAUUGGACUAUAUUCUAAAAAUCCUGAAAAUCUCCUCACAACACAAUGCCUAGGAUUGCUGGCUUAAAUAUCACAUUCUUUUGGAAACCUAGCAGAGAAUGAAAGAAGCUAUGGGGAACCUCUAAGGUGCCAAAGCAAUCAGGAACUGCACACCAGAGCAGUGAGCACGGACUGAGAGGCAGCCCUGGGGCGUAGGGCGUGGGGACUGUUAGCCUCAGAAACAAGUACAUCCAGGCUGCACGGGAAUAGGUAGGUCGUGAAGCCCCAGGCCCCGGAGAUUUGGAGCAAGAACUGAGACCCUGCAUAGAUCUGAGACCCUUAGACUUUAAAACAACAACCAUGUACAGACAUAGGAAAAUAAGAAGGAAGCUUAUCCAUCCUGGCCUGGCUCUGGAUGAGGGAAAAAAUAGCCCCUGCUAAGAGUUCAUUCCCACAGAGCAAGUUCAGGAGGCCUGCUGAGCAAACGUACACUGCUCAUGCUGGCUGAGAGUCUCCAGCCCAAGGUGGGAACACAAACCGCCCCAGAUGGGCAAUCUCCACAGAACACCCGACAGAAGCAAGUGUUUACCCACACAGUGCGCCCUUGGGACCCACUAGGUCUCCGGGGGCUUGUGGGGGAGCAGUGGCUGGCACUGCAACGCCCCCCCUUGCAACACCCCCACCCCUCCUCCCUUCUCCCAAUACCACAGCCCAGGUCAGGCCCAGCAGGUGAGGUUUCAUGCACGGUCCUCGCCCCAGAAUCUGCUUUCUAGGCGACCUGAGCUAAGUUACGGACACUUGUAAGAGGCCGUUGGAGGAAUGGCCGUUCUAAACCGAGGCCUGAAGGAUCUGAAGGCGAGGCCAGCUGCUGAGGGAAGAGUGGCCGGGGAAGUGGGCCGGCUGCCAGAGCCUCUGGCGGGCACAGAGCACAGGCCCUUCGAGGGGAGGGGGGAGGGAGGUCUGGGGAGCCCCUGAGGAGCCGAUCAGGCAGGACGGAGGCCUCGGGACUGCGUCUGGGCCGCAGCUGUGUGUGUGCUUUCUCAAAGUAGCUGCCAAAAUUUGAAAAUAAGGAGAUAUCACAUAAUAAUUCCUGGAUUUUCAAAAAAUCCAAAAGCUCCAUCAGCAGUGGAUCCCCUUUCAUACGUGGAGACCAUUAGCUGGAUCCCCUCCCUGAGACGAGCCUGUGGCCGCACACAUGCCACCGUCCGACGUUUGCUCAUUCAUGUAUGUUGCCGAUUUGGCCUCUCUGGGAGUUUGAAUUUACGGCUCCUAAUUUAGGCCUUUAUUAGGUAGGCUUUUUUUUAAAAAAAGCUGAACUUUAUUCUAAGACAAGAAUAGCUCGUAAAAUAUUUUAAGCAAGGGAAUGGUAUGAUCUAAUUUACAUAUACUCCAUCCUGUGAAAAUAUGGCUUGGAGAGGACAAUAGGGCCCAGGAGGAAAAGAGGCCACAAAUUAGGCUAUUGUAAGAAUCUGGGUGCGAGGUAAUAGUGGCUUGAGAUAGGGUCGUGUCAGUGGAAGUGCAGAGAAGUAAAUGGAUUUCAAGCGUGUUUGGAAGCAGAAAAUACAGUAUUUGCUGACAGGUGACAGAAUGAAAACCAACUUAUGCUCUAUUAUGAGUAACUUGAGACUUCUCAGGUCAACAGCAAAAGGGACACUUACCGAUAGUCCCCAGUACACGGAGAGCUUAGCGCUCGCCGUGAGGAACACGACUGUAAGGAACCACGGAGCUCGGUGAAAAGAACUCCCUGAAGGAGCACGAAUCCUACCGGGAGAAACAGGAGUGACGCAAAUACAUGUACUUAGAAGUCAUGGCGCUUGUAAGGCAGGAGGCCGUACCCAUGAGAGUGGCAGACAGCUGACUCGCCGAGGGCGUAUCACGUGCCCGGCGCACACAUCUCGCUCAGGGCUUACAGGACUACCUGGAGCACGUGAUAUCAUCAUCCCCAUCCUAUGCAUGGAAAAACAGAAACUCAGGGGAGUUCGGUACCAGUACAAGAUCGCACAGAACUGGGAUCUGGGCCCAGGCACCCUGACUGACUCCGCUGGCCAUUUGUCUAAUCAGUAUGUAAGAUCGCCUUAUGGGUGAAGCAGGUAAAGGGGAUAAAGAGGCGCAAAAUCUCAAAUAUAAUAUAAAUCCGUCACAGAAAUGAAAGAACAGCGUAGAGAGUGUAGUUAAUAAUAUUGUAACAUCCUUCUGUGUUGAAGGUGGUGACUACCUUUCUGGGGUGAGCAUUUAACACUGAAGAUAACUGCAGAAUCACUGUGCUGUACCUGAAACCAAUAUGAUACUGUGUAUCAACUGUACUUCAAUAAAAAAUGUUUAAAUAAUAAUGAAGAUAUAGAAACUUAAAAAAAGAAUGCUUUUAUGCACACUUAGAAAGGUCACAAAUUUACCUGCAUACGGCAACUCAGACAUGCCAAGAAAAAUGGAACGCCUUUUAUUUGGCUGAAACUCUGAGCUCGCUCACAGCCCCGUCAGCUGGUCGGGGGCGGGGGAUUAAGGUUUCCAGGCGGCAUAAACCUCAGCUCCUUUCAGUGACUGAGACAGCCCUUCGGGUGAGGGUCUGAGCUGCCUAGGAAAGAGGCGCACAUCCCUCAGCCUUCUGCCCCACGCGUGUGUCCCCAUGCGUGCGCACAUACCAAGGCGGUGUCUGAUGCACGAGGAAGGCUGUGGUUCACGUGUGGACAGAGCCCCACUGAAGCUUCCCGGUCUUAGGCUUGAUGUCCAGGCCCACCUGGAUGCUGCUCGACCUGCCAGCACUCAGGACUGGGCACAGGAGCACCCCGGCCUGGCCUCUUAGCUGACUCGGCGCAGCGUCCCUGGCUAAUGGAGCCCCACGUCAGCGCUGUGGGGCCCCCACUCGGCGACGUUUCUCGUGUCCAGCCAUCUGGCCCCACAGCCCGCUGUGGCCUCUGCCUCGGCUCCACGCUCCCCUCAGGAGGCUCCCUGGCCAGGCUGACGAUGACCACAGUCCAAACUGAGCGAUGUGCGAGGCGACAGGAAGGCACGUCACCAUCACACUGGAGCAGCGGGUGAGCUGGACAGGCAGACUGGACACGGAGCAAGCCCCCUGGCUCCCGGUUCAGCUGCUUUGCAAGAUCCCCUCCCAGAAGCUUCAAGAACCCCUCAGCCUUGUUUCUGCGACACAGGGCGGGGCAUCGAGGGAAGCUCAGCUCCAACGGCCCCCCUUGCCCCACGGCAGAGCCGGAUUCGGGGGGCUGAGUCGCACAUGCAGGUCUGGGUCAGCCGAACAGGCGAUCUCUCUCAGGCCCUGAAUGGAAGCAAGCCUCCCACACAACUAUGUGACACGCCCCCUCCUCUUCCAGGAAAGCCCCGAGAAGGACACGGCCCUAAUGCCGCAGGGAAGGCGGGUAUCUUCCCUUCAUUAGGGGAAAAGUCAGUGACCCAAGUUUUCCAGACUUUCCCUUGGAUAAGUUAAAUCAAAACUAAAAGAAACUGGGGGAAAAAACACCUUUCAAAUCCACAUAGCAGUGCUCUCAACCCCGCUGUCCUGGUAAAGAGUCCAGUGCUGCCCUGGUGUCCUGGACCUCUAGGCCUCGAGACUCAAUUCAGGAGUAGAAGACUGAAUGAUAAAUGACUUAAAGGAGGAAAUGGAAGUAAAUGCAUUAGUUUAAUGCUUGCAAAAUAAAAUCAUCAACAUAUAGAAGACGGCUCAUUCUCAUAGUGAGAAGUAUUUAAUGUCAUUCAACAUUAAGAUUCUUAACACAGACUUGAUAAACUGAAUAAACCGAUGCCCUUGUAAGAUACUCCAUCACAAUCAGAUCUUCAGAGGUCAAGGUCCAUCCGAUUUUAGACCUGAGGUCCUGGUCUGAGUAUGCCAUAGCUCUGUGACUUUAUCUUUGAAAGGCCCCAAACUGUGAUAUAUCAGGUUUCCACUUAGGCUUUGCCUACUCAUUUAAGUAUCUCUAACCUAAACUGCAGUCUUAAUGUUUUAAAGUGCAUUAAAUGGUUCCCAGUAUUGAGCAGGGACUAUUGAGAGGCCCCAAGCUUGUGAUGUUUCACAAGGACAUUCUAAUGAGUUCACUGCUCUGUUCUUUCUACUUAGCCCCAGGCGGCGGCAGCAGUUACACGGCUCCCCUACAUUGUUACUCUGGGUGAUUUCCGACGACCCCAACUAAAAAAAACAUUCUCUCUACCAAUGCACAAGUUUCCAAGCACAGGCAGAAAAGUACACAAAUGCUGAGCCAUCAGGGUCAUGGAAGGACCGAAAAAGGAGAGGCCAGGUGGGCUUCUUCAAGGGCUUCUCAUUCCUUUAUGAUUAAUGAACCUAAGGAAAGCAUCUGAAGCUUCUGUGCAAUGUGAAGAAUGAACUGCUGGAGCACCACUGUGCUUUAAACAGCAGCGAAGAUGCGAGGCAGUGCCUUCCUGCGGGGAAGAAGAAAUCCUCACCCCAAAAAAAAUCAUUUAGAAAGGAACAGACGGUUGAGUUCAAAAAGCU